AACGCAAAUUUCACAGCCAUUAACAACGUUAAAGCAUUCCCUUGAGGUUGAACCCAUUACGGCGUUCUGGCCCAUGACCAUCGGAAUAUUGUUGUCGUGGAAUUUUUUUUUCUGGUUUCGAUGGACUGGAGAAUGAAAUGAGUUGAUCUUGGGUGCAGCAUUCCAUCUGUUGAAUAACUUGUUUAUUUCUAAGGGUUUACCUUCGUGUGCCCGUAUGGGGUUUGCUGCAAGGAUUGACUGGACAUUU
RNAcentral lists this small nucleolar RNA (247 nucleotides) under Spathaspora passalidarum NRRL Y-27907. The record is from RNAcentral. Lineage: Eukaryota; Fungi; Ascomycota; Pichiomycetes; Serinales; Debaryomycetaceae.